Molecule: ribosomal RNA, 484 nt
Filed under: uncultured bacterium
Lineage: Bacteria
Description: partial 16S ribosomal RNA
Rfam family: Bacterial small subunit ribosomal RNA
Source: RNAcentral
AUUGAACGCUGGCGGCAGGCCUAACACAUGCAAGUCGAGCGGAUGAAGGGAGCUUGCUCCUGGAUUCAGCGGCGGACGGGUGAGUAAUGCAUAGGAAUCUGCCUGGUAGUGGGGGGUAACGUCCGGAAACGGGCGCUAAUACCGCAUACGUCCUGAGGGAGAAAGUGGGGGAUCUUCGGACCUCACGCUAUCAGAUGAGCCUAGGUCGGAUUAGCUAGUUGGUGGGGUAAAGGCCUACCAAGGCGACGAUCCGUAACUGGUCUGAGAGGGUGAUCAGUCACACUGGAACUGAGACACGGUCCAGACUCCUACGGGAGGCAGCAGUGGGGAAUAUUGGACAAUGGGCGAAAGCCUGAUCCAGCCAUGCCGCGUGUGUGAAGAAGGUCUUCGGAUUGUAAAGCACUUUAAGUUGGGAGGAAGGGCAGUAAGUUAAUACCUUGCUGUUUUGACGUUACCAACAGAAUAAGCACCGGCUAACUUCGUG